AGAGUUUGAUCAUGGCUCAGAUUGAACGCUGGCGGCAGGCCUAACACAUGCAAGUCGAGCGGUAACAGAAAUUAGCUUGCUAAUUUGCUGACGAGCGGCGGACGGGUGAGUAAUGCCUGGGAAUAUGCCUUAGUGUGGGGGAUAACUAUUGGAAACGAUAGCUAAUACCGCAUAACGUCUUCGGACCAAAGAGGGGGAUCUUCGGACCUCUCGCGCUAAGAUUAGCCCAGGUGAGAUUAGCUAGUUGGUGAGGUAAGAGCUCACCAAGGCGACGAUCUCUAGCUGGUCUGAGAGGAUGAUCAGCCACACUGGAACUGAGACACGGUCCAGACUCCUACGGGAGGCAGCAGUGGGGAAUAUUGCACAAUGGGCGAAAGCCUGAUGCAGCCAUGUCGCGUGUAUGAAGAAGGCCUUCGGGUUGUAAAGUACUUUCAGUAGGGAGGAAGGUGUUGUCGUUAAUAGCGGCAGCAUUUGACGUUACCUACAGAAGAAGCACCGGCUAACUCCGUGCCAGCAGCCGCGGUAAU
RNAcentral lists this ribosomal RNA (527 nucleotides) under uncultured bacterium. RNAcentral describes it as "bacterial SSU rRNA". It matches the Rfam family "Bacterial small subunit ribosomal RNA", at positions 8 to 524 of the family's 1533-position model. The record is from RNAcentral.